GAUGAACGCUGGCGGCGUGCCUAAUACAUGCAAGUCGAGCGAACAGACGAGGAGCUUGCUCCUCUGACGUUAGCGGCGGACGGGUGAGUAACACGUGGAUAACCUACCUAUAAGACUGGGAUAACUUCGGGAAACCGGAGCUAAUACCGGAUAAUAUAUUGAACCGCAUGGUUCAAUAGUGAAAGACGGUUUUGCUGUCACUUAUAGAUGGAUCCGCGCCGCAUUAGCUAGUUGGUAAGGUAACGGCUUACCAAGGCAACGAUGCGUAGCCGACCUGAGAGGGGGAUGGGCCACACUGGAACUGAGACACGGUCCAGACGCCUACGGGAGGCAGCAGUAGGGAAUCUUCCGCAAUGGGCGAAAGCCUGACGGAGCAACGCCGCGUGAGUGAUGAAGGUCUUCGGAUCGUAAAACUCUGUUAUUAGGGAAGAACAAAUGUGUAAGUAACUAUGCACGUCUUGACGGUACCGAAUCAGAAAGCCACGGCUAACUACGUG
This 497-nucleotide ribosomal RNA is filed under the name uncultured bacterium. RNAcentral's name for it is "partial 16S ribosomal RNA". It matches the Rfam family "Bacterial small subunit ribosomal RNA", at positions 28 to 507 of the family's 1533-position model. The record is from RNAcentral.